RNAcentral lists this ribosomal RNA (613 nucleotides) under Jeotgalibacillus sp. UST050418-081. Its description in RNAcentral is "bacterial SSU rRNA". It matches the Rfam family "Bacterial small subunit ribosomal RNA", at positions 55 to 649 of the family's 1533-position model. The record is from RNAcentral. Lineage: Bacteria; Bacillati; Bacillota; Bacilli; Caryophanales; Caryophanaceae.
CUGCAAGUCGAGCGAAUUCUUUGGAGCUUGCUCCAAAGAAGUUAGCGGCGGACGGGUGAGUAACACGUGGGCAAUCUGCCCGUAAGACUGGGAUAACUCCGGGAAACCGGGGCUAAUACCGGAUAAUCCCGACUCUCUCCUGAGAGUCGGUUGAAAGAUGGUUUCGGCUAUCACUUACGGAUGAGCCCGCGGCGCAUUAGCUAGUUGGUGAGGUAACGGCUCACCAAGGCGACGAUGCGUAGCCGACCUGAGAGGGUGAUCGGCCACACUGGGACUGAGACACGGCCCAGACUCCUACGGGAGGCAGCAGUAGGGAAUCUUCCGCAAUGGACGAAAGUCUGACGGAGCAACGCCGCGUGAGUGAAGAAGGUUUUCGGAUCGUAAAACUCUGUUGUUAGGGAAGAACACGUACGAGAGUAACUGCUCGUACCUUGACGGUACCUAACCAGAAAGCCACGGCUAACUACGUGCCAGCAGCCGCGGUAAUACGUAGGUGGCAAGCGUUGUCCGGAAUUAUUGGGCGUAAAGCGCGCGCAGGUGGUCUCCUUAAGUCUGAUGUGAAAGCCCCCGGCUCAACCGGGGAGGGUCAUUGGAAACUGGGGAACUUGAGUGC